RNAcentral lists this ribosomal RNA (460 nucleotides) under uncultured bacterium. RNAcentral describes it as "partial 16S ribosomal RNA". It matches the Rfam family "Bacterial small subunit ribosomal RNA", at positions 338 to 795 of the family's 1533-position model. The record is from RNAcentral.
CCUACGGGUGGCAGCAGUGAGGAAUAUUGGUCAAUGGGCGGAAGCCUGCACCAGCCAAGUCGCGUGAGGGAAUAAGGCCCUACGGGUCGUAAACCUCUUUUGCCGGGGAGCAAGGGCGGGGACGUGUCCCGGCCCGGAGAGUCCCCGGAGAAAAAGCCUCGGCUAACUCCGUGCCAGCAGCCGCGGUCAUACGGAGGAUGCGAGGGUUAUCCGGAUUUAUUGGGUUAAAAGGGUGCGUAGGCGGGCGUUUAAGUCAGCGGUAAAAAUUCGGGGCUCACCCCCGUACGGCCUUUGAAACUGGGGGCCUUGAGUGGGCGAGAGGAAGGUGGAAUGCGUGGUGUAGCGGUGAAAUGCAUAGAUAUCACGCAGAACCCCGAUUGCGAAGGCAGCCUUCCGGCGCCCUACUGACGCUGAGGCACGAAAGUGCGGGGAUCGAACAGGAUUAGAUACCCGUGUAGUC